UACGGAGGGUGCAAGCGUUAAUCGGAAUUACUGGGCGUAAAGCGCACGCAGGCGGUCUGUCAAGUCGGAUGUGAAAUCCCCGGGCUCAACCUGGGAACUGCAUUCGAAACUGGCAGGCUAGAGUCUUGUAGAGGGGGGUAGAAUUCCAGGUGUAGCGGUGAAAUGCGUAGAGAUCUGGAGGAAGACCGGUGGCGAAGGCGGCCCCCUGGACAAAGACUGACGCUCAGGUGCGAAAGCGUGGGGAGCAAACAGGUUAGAUACCCUGGUCGUCCACGCCGUAAACGAUGUCGAUUUGGAGGUUGUGCCCUUGAGGCGUGGCUUCCGGAGCUAACGCGUUAACUCGUCCGCCUGGGGAGUACGGCCGCAAGGUUAAA
This 374-nucleotide ribosomal RNA is filed under the name uncultured bacterium. Its description in RNAcentral is "bacterial SSU rRNA". It matches the Rfam family "Bacterial small subunit ribosomal RNA", at positions 524 to 898 of the family's 1533-position model. The record is from RNAcentral.